UCCCUGAUAGCUCAGUUGGUAGAGCAAAUGACUGUUAAUCAUUGGGUCGCAGGUUCGAAUCCUGCUCGGGGAG
This 73-nucleotide transfer RNA is filed under the name Johnevansia muelleri (SeqCode). RNAcentral's name for it is "Candidatus Johnevansia muelleri tRNA-Asn (GTT) (tRNA-Asn-GTT-1-1)". It matches the Rfam family "tRNA". Rfam says of the family: Transfer RNA (tRNA) molecules are approximately 80 nucleotides in length. Lineage: Bacteria; Pseudomonadati; Pseudomonadota; Gammaproteobacteria; Johnevansiales (SeqCode); Johnevansiaceae (SeqCode). The record is from Rfam by way of RNAcentral.